UAUUCGCUAACCGUCGUGUUCAGCUGCUUGUCGAACUUCGUGGUCGACAUGUAAUACACAAACGGUUUUUGGCACGGUUGCCGACUAACCGGCCUGGUGUUGAAUGCGUAGGCGGUGUAGUCCGCUCUUUUGUACCAAUUCAAGAACGUUCUAGUAGGCAUUUCCAUUUCCCUUGGAGAAAAUAUUCCUCGGAAUAUUUGGACCGCGUAGCCCCACGAGACCGAGACGGUCCAGCUCUUGUGCUUGUCGUAGCAUAUAGACUGCUGGAGAAGCCCGGCUGAGUCGAGCUUCAUCGGUACAGUUAGCUUCUUGAGGGCACGGACUCGGGUCAUGUUUGGGAAGAUCGGCUCCACGACGUCGAGGUGGUGCACUGAGACGAACGGUGUUACUGGGUGUGCGGCCAGGAGACCGAAGAGGCUCCCGUAUACGUCGUACUGAAACCGAACAACACAAACUUAAGAUGUUACAAGGAGCGUGAGUUUCACACGUCAUAUGUGCGCGUAGGAAAUAAUGACAUCAACAAAUCAUUCAAGUGUGAAGAACAGAAAAGCGGGUCCCACUCUUACACCUGUAUUCAACCAUCUAACUAAAGUAAAUGGACAAGGCAUUGAGCUCCUCACGCGCCGCUUUGUCGGUACCAAACCACGGAAAAAUUGCCAAAACACGGAAAAAUUGCCAAAACAAUAUUGAAGCACAAACAGAACAAAGAAACGAAACUGAUAUCACUACUAAACCAGCAUGAGAGAUUCUUUAUUACAAGAAACAUUAUACUCCUAAAACAAGUGCCCCUAAAACUAGUCUUUUGAAACUCUUUCCGACAAAACUCUUAAAAAGUUUGAACUUUGCUGAAAAGCUAACUACUUGAUUGAAACCCAUUUCAAUUGCCAUCAUUACCUUCAAGACCCAUGUCACAAUAUCACUAAAAACACCAACUUUGCCACUAAAUCAUUAAAUAUCGCUUAUGGUUUCAACAUUAGGACUCAACAAUCAUCCACUCAACCCUUAAAAGACAAAUUCACCAUACUUGGCAGUGACCCAACACCAGCUAAUACUAGUCUACUACCGAAACUUGCCAAAACCAAACUGAAAUUUCCAACAAAACUUGUCUUACCUGGUGAAAGCCGAGUUCUUUAGUAAGCGGAACACCGAGCUCAGCCAUACAAGCUUGCAUGCGAUCGUCUGAGCCAUACAACGCAGGAUACCUCUGUAUACACCGAUCCUGCAUCUUGCUCAAAGCCUUAGCCAAAGGGUAGCUAAUAGCGAACCCUCCUCCGCCGUAAGCCAUCCCGUAAGAGAAAAAUAUGUUCUGCAGAUGAGAUUCCGACAAGCUCCCGAUGUAAUACAUCUGCUCGUGGUCGUACUUCCUCAGCACCCUAAUGAGAUUAUCCGUGACGAAAACAGUGUCGUCGUCACCCAUCACGAACCACCUCACGUUUUUCGGACCCAGACGCAGCAUCUCCGACACGAUCCUCGAGAUCCGCAGCGCCGAGCGUUGCCCUUGCUUGUUCGUGUAAGGGAACGAAGCUGUCCCGCCGGAGAUUCUCACCGGCGGAAGUAGAUCCUCGUCGUCGUCGUUGCUAGUGUUGUUCUUCUUCACCGCUUUGUCUAACCAGACGUAGCCGCGCAUGUGUUUGGGUUUGUACCAGAUCUUGAUAUACUCUUUCCUCUGUUUCCACAGUUUCGCCGACGCGGCGAUCCCGAACACCACGUGGCUGAGAUCGGUUGGCUCGUCUUCCACCUCUUCCUCCUCGGACUCGCGCCGACGUGAAGGUAGUGCAGAGGAGGAGGAGGAGGAGGAGAGGUUGGCGGAGAGGGUGGUGAAGGUGAUGGAAUCGUCGCAGGAGCGUGAGGUGGAGACGAGCUUGAGCAUGUAGAUAAUGUAAGUGAAAGCGAUGAAGCAGAUGAGCCAGACCAUUAGUUUAGGACCGGGUCGGGUUACCACCGACAACGUUCCGGGUUUCUCCGAGGAGUCUUUCUGGUUACCUUUCAUCCUCCCUCUUUCGAGCUUCUUGAUUCGUACCCCCAGAGGAGAGAACGAACCGAAAAGAUUGGAUCUUUGUUUUCGUAAAAGAGAAAGAUUAGUGUGAGUGAGAUUGGUGAUGGAUGUCCUGAGAAAUCGCUUCUUGGUUUCAAACGAUCCUUAUUUUAUCUCUCAGGUACAUAUGCUGCGCUGGUUACAUGCCUUGUAGCGGCAGGUGUGGAGAAGCCAAAUGUCCUCAACUUUGUCUUGCCACUGAGGUGAGGAUAUUUGUUUUCAGAGCUUUUUAUCUUUAAAUGAAGUCUUGUUAUAGAAUGUUUCAUUACAGCAUCUGAAUAUAAUAACAUAAGCAUAUAUAAUCUCAUGCCUAUGUUAUAUGGGCUUAUGAUGCCACUCCAUGAGUUGUUAAAUAUUAUAAAAGUUUCCUAAAUAGCAAAAUGAUUCGUAGGUCUUUUGCUGCUUUGGAACCUCUGUGGCAUCGACUCGUUUCCUUCUGCAAGAUGAGUUCCAAAUUCAGACCACACAAUGUGACAACUGCAUCAUUGUAAGUAGUAAUCCUCAUUGGUCACGCCGGUUAUUGAGACUCGCAAGCAGUUAAAGUAGAAACAGUACAGACUAUGAAACAUGAGAAACAAGUGUUAGUGAUCUGUGCUGUCUUAUUGGCUGUUGUAGGGUUUUAUGGUUUGCCUUAGCCAAGUGGCUUGCAUAUUCUCCAUAGUUGCGUGUAUCGUCGGCAUUGAUGAGCUUUCAGAAGCUUCCCAGCUGCUCUCUUGUUUAUCUGACAUGGUGUACUGCACGUAAGCAACUUCCUUAUCUGCACUCUCAUUUUCAUUCUCUCUUUAAACUUAAUUGACCCUGAUGAUCAUGUUUUUGCUUCAUUCCCAGGGUUUGCGCUUGUAUGCAGGUAAAGUGAUGAUAUCAACCUCACCUCUACUCAAAAAACUAAUAUCACAGUUUUCCUUAUAAAAUCUUAUUAUGCUUAUAUCUAGACACAACACAAGGUGGAAAUGGACAAGAGAGAUGGUAAGUUCGGUCCACAACCAAUGGCUGUGCCUCCCCCUCAGCUAAUGUCACGGAUUGAUCAAGCCACUCCACCCGCUAUCGGUUAUCCUCCACAAGGUUACCCACAACACCCUCCUCAAGGGUAUCCAUCUUCUGGCUACCCUCAAAACCCUCCAGCUUAUCCUCAGUACCCUCCUGGUCCGGCUUAUCCACCUCAAGGUUACCCAAAGUAAUCACUCUUUUGCGUUCACUUUCACGUCGUUGAUAUAUGCUCUGUGUGCCGGUCAAAGUGUUUUGAGGUCAUUAUUUGGUGUGUAAGACUUUACUUCAAAUCAUCUUGUUGUUAUCUGAGACCGUCCCCCUAUUGGACUGAGACAUCUGAUGAAUUUUUUUCUUUUCAUUUGAUUUUUUUUUUUGGAAAGUAAAGAGACCAAAUAUAUAUAUAUAUAUAUAUACACGUCGUCACGUCCAUUUCACUAAAAUCUAGUUUUUAAUAAAUAAAAAAUAUUUACUAAAUAUUGAUAUGUUGUGUUUGGAACAAUGUUGAAUUGAACCAGUUGGAUCUCAAUGAAUACAAUUUUAAAUAACGUGGCAAGAAAUUACGAGUGAGUAAAGCAGCCUAAAACUAUUUUUUCUUCUCAUUCAAAAAUUAAAUCAAUACAAAAAUACUAUAUAAGAGUAAGUUACUUUACUUCAGUGACUUCACCAUCUCUACAUACACCAACAUUGAUCCAUAACGUAUUAUUCCUCUUCGUUUGUAACACCCUGCAGCAGUUCCUCCUCGGUGACUGUACAAAAAACACAUGCACCAUGUAAGUCCACAACAUUAUGCACGUUAUAACCACAUGCUAAAAAAAAUAACAUUACGUUACUUACCCGUUCCCACAGAUGCGGAUCAGGUUUCUUGUAAACGACGAUGGUGUUAAUCUCAGCCGGGUUCGCUAUCUUCCACUUACAAGACGGAUGCGAAACACGGUGCCGCGUGUAUUCGCUAACCGUCGUGUUCAGCUGCUUGUCGAACUUCGUGGUCGACAUGUAAUACACAAACGGUUUUUGGCACGGUUGCCGACUAACAGGCCUGGUGUUGAAUGCGUAGGCGGUGUAGUCCGCUCUUUUGUACCAAUUCAAGAAGGUUCUAGAAGGCAUUUCCAUUUCCCUUGGAGAAAAUAUUCCUCGGAAUAUUUGGACCGCGUAGCCCCACGAGACCGAGACGGUCCAGCUCUUGUGCUUGUCGUAGCAUAUAGACUGCUGGAGAAG
RNAcentral lists this long non-coding RNA (4237 nucleotides) under Brassica napus (rape). RNAcentral's name for it is "long non-coding RNA (BNAP_LNC002962)". The record is from RNAcentral. Lineage: Eukaryota; Viridiplantae; Streptophyta; Magnoliopsida; Brassicales; Brassicaceae.